This is an RNA transcript of Mandrillus leucophaeus (drill), 905 nucleotides long. It is a transcript of the gene named voltage-dependent anion-selective channel protein 3 pseudogene, with no coding region annotated. The record is from RefSeq and is a predicted model, not a curated record. The transcript has a single exon. Lineage: Eukaryota; Metazoa; Chordata; Mammalia; Primates; Cercopithecidae.
GGCCCUCGGGGGUGGAGGUCUUUGAUUUCAUAAGAGCCUGAUAGAUUUUUCUAAGAUAUGUGUAACACACCAACUUACUGUGACCUGGGAAAGGCUGCUAAGGAUGUCUUCAACAAAGGAUAUGGCUUUGGCAUGGUGAAGAUAGACCUGAAAAUCAAGUCUCGUAGUGGAGUGGAAUUUUCUACUUCUGGUCACGCUUACACUGAUACAGGGAAAGCAUCAGGCAACCUAGAAACCGAAUGUAAGGUCUGUAACUAUGGACUUACCUUCACCCAAAACGGAACACAGACAAUACCCUUGGGACAGAAAUCUCUGGAGAAUAAGUUGGCUGAAGGGUUGAAACUGAGUCUUGAUACCACAUUCGUACCGAACAGAGGAAAGAAGAGUGAGAAAUUGAAGGCCUCCUAUAAAUGGGAUUGUUCUAGUGUUGGCAGUGACGUUGAUAUAGAUUUUUCUGGAUCAACCGUCUAUGGCUGGGCUGUGUUGGUCUUUGAAGGGUGGCUUGUCGGCUGUCAGAUGAGUUUUGACACAGCCAAAUCCAAAUUGUCACAGAAUAAUUUUGCCCCGGGUUACGAGGCUGCAGACUUCCAGCUGCACAUACAUGUGAAGGAUGGCACUGAAUUUGGAGGUUCUAUCUACCAGAAGGUUAAUGAGAUUGAAAUGCCAAUAAACCUUUCUUGGACGGCUGGAAGUAACAACACCGGUUUUGGCAUUGCUGCUAAGUACAAGCUGGACUGUCGAACUUCUCUUUCUGCUAAAGCAAAUAAUGCCAGCCUGAUUGGACUGGGUUCUACUCAGACCCUUCGACCCAGAGUCAAGUUGACCCUUUAUCAGCUUUAAUCAAUGGAAAGAACUUCAAUGCAGGAGGUCGCAAGGUUGGCUUAGGAUUUGAACUGGAAGUGUAA